GGCGCUAUAGCCAAGCGGUAAGGCAUAGGUCUGCAAAACCUUUAUCCCCAGUUCAAAUCUGGGUGGCGCCUCCA
Molecule: transfer RNA, 74 nt
Filed under: Clostridium chauvoei JF4335
Lineage: Bacteria; Bacillati; Bacillota; Clostridia; Eubacteriales; Clostridiaceae
Description: tRNA-Cys
Rfam family: tRNA
About the family: Transfer RNA (tRNA) molecules are approximately 80 nucleotides in length. Their secondary structure includes four short double-helical elements and three loops (D, anti-codon, and T loops). Further hydrogen bonds mediate the characteristic L-shaped molecular structure. tRNAs have two regions of fundamental functional importance: the anti-codon, which is responsible for specific mRNA codon recognition, and the 3' end, to which the tRNAs corresponding amino acid is attached (by aminoacyl-tRNA synthetases). tRNAs cope with the degeneracy of the genetic code in two manners: having more than one tRNA (with a specific anti-codon) for a particular amino acid; and 'wobble' base-pairing, i.e. permitting non-standard base-pairing at the 3rd anti-codon position.
Source: RNAcentral